CGAUGGAUCUUGUUUGUACAAAUUUUACUUAGGUUAUUUGAUAUCCUUAAGUUUUUUGGUUCAGGUUGCUGGGCUUAUAUGUUUUGGCAGCAACGGAUGCAGGACUUCUGCUCCGUAAUCUUUUCUUACCAUUAAUAUAGCCCCCGAGCCUUCUCUUUUACCAAAAAAAAAAAAAUUCUAUUGCUCCACGUCUUGAUACCAAGUCUUGACUGCAAAUAAAGAUAAAUACCAUG
RNAcentral lists this long non-coding RNA (233 nucleotides) under Elaeis guineensis (African oil palm). Its description in RNAcentral is "long non-coding RNA (EGUI_LNC066861)". Lineage: Eukaryota; Viridiplantae; Streptophyta; Magnoliopsida; Arecales; Arecaceae. The record is from RNAcentral.